GCCGAUGUGGUGAAAUUGGUAGACACGCCGUCUUGAGGGGGCGGUGGCGAAAGCCGUGGGAGUUCGAGUCUCCCCAUCGGCACCA
This 85-nucleotide transfer RNA is filed under the name Burkholderiales bacterium. RNAcentral describes it as "tRNA-Leu". It matches the Rfam family "tRNA". From Rfam's summary of the family: Transfer RNA (tRNA) molecules are approximately 80 nucleotides in length. Their secondary structure includes four short double-helical elements and three loops (D, anti-codon, and T loops). RNAcentral also lists the same sequence under 2 other names. Lineage: Bacteria; Pseudomonadati; Pseudomonadota; Betaproteobacteria; Burkholderiales. The record is from RNAcentral.